This 1468-nucleotide ribosomal RNA is filed under the name uncultured Bordetella sp. RNAcentral's name for it is "partial 16S-23S ribosomal RNA intergenic spacer". It matches the Rfam family "Bacterial small subunit ribosomal RNA". The record is from RNAcentral. Lineage: Bacteria; Pseudomonadati; Pseudomonadota; Betaproteobacteria; Burkholderiales; Alcaligenaceae.
GGUCUGGAUCAUGGCUCAGAUUGAACGCUGGCGGGAUGCUUUACACAUGCAAGUCGAACGGCAGCACGGACUUCGGUCUGGUGGCGAGGGCGAACGGUGAGUAAUGUAUCGGAACGUGCCUAGUAGCGGGGGAUAACUACGCGAAAGCGGGUAGCUAAUACCGCAUACGCCCUUCGGGGGAAAGCGGGGACCUUUCGGGGCCUCGCACUAUUAGAGCGGGCCGAUAUCGGAUUAGCUAGUUGGUGGGGUAACGGCUCACCAAGGCGACGAUCCGUAGCUGCUUCAGAGGACGACCAGCCACACUGGGACUGAGACACGGCCCAGACUCCUACGGGAGGCAGCAGUGGGGAAUUCUGGACAAUGGGGGAAAACCCUGAUCCAGCCAACUUGGCGUGUGCGAUGAAGGCCUUCGGGUCAGGUAAAGCACUUUUGAGAGGAAAGAAACGGCACGGGAUAAUACCCGCAACUGACGGUACCUGCAGAAUAAGCACCGGCUAACUACGUGCCAGCAGCCGUAAUACGUAGGGUGCGCGUUAAUCGGAAUUACUGGGCGUAAAGCGUGGCGCAGGCGGUUCGGAAAGAAAGAUGUGAAAUCCCAGAGCUUAACUUUGGAACUGCAUUUAACUACCGAGCUAGAGCGUCGAGGAGGUGGAAUUCGCGUGUAGCAGUGAAAUGCGUAGAUAUGCGGAGGAACACCGAUACAGCGCAGCCUCCUGGGAUAACACCGACGCCCGCGCACGAAAGCGUGGGGAGCAAACAGGAUUAGAUACCCUGGUAGUCCACGCCCUAAACGAUGUCAAUCCAGCUGUUGGGGCCUCGGGCCUUGGUGGCGCAGCUAACGCGUGAAGUUGACCGCCCGGGGAGUACGGUCGCAAGAUUAAAACUCAAAGGAAUUGACGGGACCCGCACAAGCGGUGGAUGAUGUGGAUUAAUUCAGAUAACGCGAAAAACCUUUACCUACCCUUGACAUGUCUGGAAUCCCGAAGAGAUUUUGGGAGUGCUCGCAAGAGAACCGAACACAGGAGCUGUGUAUGGGCUGUCGUCAGCUCGUGUCGUGAGAUGCUGCUGUCCCAACGAGCGCAACCCUUUGUCAUUAGUUGCUACGAAAGGGCACUCUAAUGAGACUGCCGGUGACAAACCGAGGAAGGUGGGGAUGACGUCAAGUCCUCAUGGCCCUUAUGGGUAGGGCUUCACACGUCAUACAAUGGUCGGGACAGAGGGUCGCCAACCCGCCAGGGGGAGCCAAUCCCAGAAACCCGAUCGUAGUCCGGAUCGCAGUUCGCAACUGACCGCGUGAAGCCGAACGCCAGUAAUCGCAUCAGCAUGUCGCAGUGAAUACGUUCCCCGGGUCUUGUACACACCGCCUGUCACACCAUGGGAGUGGGUUUUACCAGAAGUAGUUAGCCUAACCGUAAGGAGGGUGAUUACCACGGUAGGAUUCAUGACUGGGGUGAAGUCAACAAGGCAG